UACAGGGGGGGCAAGCGUUGUUCGGAAUUACUGGGCGUAAAGGGCUCGUAGGUGGCCAACUAAGUCGGACGUGAAAUCCCUCAGCUUAACUGGGGAACUGCGUCCGAUACUGGAUGGCUCGAGUUUGGGAGAGGGAUGCGGAAUUCCAGGUGUAGCGGUGAAAUGCGUAGAUAUCUGGAGGAACACCGGUGGCGCAGGCGGCAUCCUGGACCAACACUGACACUGAGGAGCGAAAGCCAGGGGAGCAAACGGG
Molecule: ribosomal RNA, 253 nt
Filed under: uncultured bacterium
Lineage: Bacteria
Description: partial 16S ribosomal RNA
Rfam family: Bacterial small subunit ribosomal RNA
Source: RNAcentral